RNAcentral lists this long non-coding RNA (2120 nucleotides) under Marmota monax (woodchuck). Lineage: Eukaryota; Metazoa; Chordata; Mammalia; Rodentia; Sciuridae. The record is from RNAcentral.
AUUUUUCUCUCCUUUUUUCUUGUUAAAAAUAUUUCUCUCUAUUAUAAAUUUUGCUUUUUAAUGAAAAAAUGUUAAGUAUAAUUUAAAAAGAAAUGACCUAGCCACUUGGUGGCAGUAUGCCAUGAAGAAUACGGUCUCUGGCUUUGUUUCAGUCCCAUGAUUAAAAAUUUUGUCAUUGACUUGAUUUUGUCUCUGAUAAUCUUGUUUACAAGUUAUGUUACUUCAUAUAUCUGAUUCUUUGUAAAAUUACCCUCUGAUAAUUAAGCACCUCUUUUAAGUAACUUUAAUUUAAUCUAAUUUAAAUGACUGCAUCUGGUUGAUUUGAAAGUCUGAUAGCAAAUAGACCCUAAAGGAAGAUUGCAUUUAUUCUUUAUUAGGGCUAAUAAAGCCCUAGUCAGAUGUGAAAAUUAUUUUUAUAUGAUGCCAAAUAAUAACUAAAUGAAGUUUCAAUGCCAAAUAAUCACCUGUAAUUUAUAAAACAGAAUUAUAUUCAACUGAAUUGAAAACCAACAACACUAUUUAUCACUUUUAAAUAAAAAUACAAAUUUUAAAAUAACAAAAGUUAAAAUAAAAAUAAUUCUGCAACCUAUGUUUAUAAACCUAUGAUUCUGCCAACUUGAAAAUCUUGUUGCAUUUUAAGGUAUUAUUUCUACUGUUAAAAUUUCAAAUUAAGGCAAAUACAGACUCCAGCUUGUGCUCUCCGAGAAUAAACAUUGGCUUGUUAAACAGAGAUUUAGAUGCGUGAACCUGGCUGCCCACGGUUAGGGUACAACCUUAACCCUUCAGAGUUUGAUGGAGCCCUACACCAGGGAGAAAAAGAAAUUUAGUAAAGUAUUGAGAAGCCAUAUUCACAGGAAACACUUUCCUUUUGCUGUAGAGAAGCCAGAAUAAAAACACAGGAAAGAACUUUUGGCUUUUACAAUGUUUUCAUCUUCUAAAAUUCCCUGCCCUAUUGUUCUUAGAGAAUAGCCCUUCAAUAGAGCUUGUUCCUGCACCCAAAUUAGCCUUUCUCAAAAAUUUCCAAAAACCCAUAGGAAUUUUUUCACUAAAAAUGUAUGCUCUAUUUCUCAAAGAAAAAUCUUGUGGGCCACAUAGCUUAUUAUAUAAUCCUGUGAUAUCUCAGUGACAGUUAAGGAUGCCUUAAGUUGUGACUCCUGCCUGGACCAAGAAGAAUAUUUUGAAAAGAAAAAUGUGAAUACUGACUGAGUAAAUAAGGGCUUGAGGGGCUCCUGGAGAUGCAGAACUUAAAACCAUCUUCAGAAAUGUCUUCUGAUAACUGAUAGAAUUGUGUCCUUGAAGUCACCUCUGGCAGCUUCUAAGUAUCAGAAAGGGGCGGACUGGCAAGGUCUCUCUGGAACUUUUGCGUUCUGACUUAAAGUGAGUUAGCUGCCAAGACUACUCACCCAUCCCUGGUUGGAGGCCUUCAUUAACAAGCCUCAGACAGCCCUCAUGACUAGGCAGUGCCGGCCAGGAUCCUUGCCAUUGGGAAAGGAGCAGAGAGGAGUCAUUAAUGACAUUCCACACCUGUGUUACAACCCCAAAGUGUCUGCUAAUCAAAAUUGAGCUUCUUGUGGGAAGCCAAGAGGGGGCGAACAGCUUCCCAAAGAUUGCACAAAGGCCCAAAGUGACACAUCUCCAAGGCCCUUAAGGAAACUUAAACCUUAUUGCAUCAUCUAUUGGAAGGAAUCAAGUAGAAACCAAUUAUUGUGCAUUUUUCUGGCUCAGUGAAAUAAAGCUCCUUGGUAUUUGUUGCCUAGAAGCCUCAUGAAAUUAGUGGACACACCCUGAAAUUUUACAAACCCUCAGCGGUUUCUAAUUGUCCUUGCAAUAUUUCCUCCUUGGAGAUUUACCAAAUUAAAUUUAAAAAAGAGAAAAGACACACUUGCAGGCCAUUGCUUUUAUUUCACCCUUCAAACCUAUGAAAGUUACUGGUUGACUUUAAUCAUCUCUGAGCAAGGGAAGAAAGUCUCUGAAGAAAUGGAGCCACCUGAGUGCUCUUUUCUUGAUGUUCUUUUCUUUUUAAGUCCCCCAGGUCACACCAAAAUCUUUCCAACAUGAUACUCGGAAUUCUGACCUUCUCAUUUCUUCCACCUUAAAAGGACACUUUACUUCUGGUAAGA